GCCUGCACCCUAUGUCCAGGGAAUAAAGCCUCAGCCAAGGCCUGGACUGUUCUCAUUGGAAGGGCUCCUCCUGGACACGCUGGUGGCUGAGGGGGCAGGAGCCUGAAGAACGUUUGGGAGGGGUUAGAGGCCUUCCUUAGAUAGCCUUCCUUGGCUAUGAUGGAGCAGUGCCUAGAAUGGGCUAUUCAACUUCCUUCUCCUCCACUGGGAGCUCCCCCUGGCCCUGAGAUGGGUCUAGUCCAUUUCUCCCACCCGGUGGCUGCUUCCCCCACUGGGGCCUUGUAAUCACCACACAGUGACUGACUCAGCCCUUCCUUCCCCUCCCAGCCCCUUCUUCCUGGAAACCAUCCACAUCAGCCCCAGCCCCCGUGGGCCCAGAGGGAGAGAACUGGAAGCCGCCUUCUCCAAGGGAAGCCUUCCGAACCCCCUGUUGAUGUCAAGUCCCCAUGUGGCACCCUCGGAGAAACCCUGGGCCACUGUCGCGUCCGCGCCACCGUCAACUGAUUCACGCGCACCGCCCCCCCCCCCCCCCACUGGACAGUGGCCUCCAGCGUCUCCCCAGAGUGCCUGCAACAUAGAUUCCCCACACGCGGCACAAGAUUUCCAACGGGAGAGGAGCGUGGACGGGACGAUUGAUUCUCCGAGCCCUCCUGCCCCUGACUCCUAGCCCUUCCACUCCCAUCCGCAGAGGUCAGGGAGGCAAUGUUCUUCGUUCUACCGGGAAAAAGAGAGAGCGGAAGAAGAUUUAAACUCAGAAGUUCUCCUCAGAAUUUACUUUUACUUCUCCAAAAGUUGUUUCCGUGUCUGAUAUCAAGUAGAAAAA
Molecule: long non-coding RNA, 823 nt
Organism: Leopardus geoffroyi (Geoffroy's cat)
Lineage: Eukaryota; Metazoa; Chordata; Mammalia; Carnivora; Felidae
Exons: 4
Source: RefSeq, a predicted model, not a curated record